CUUCAUUGCUGUUGGUCUCUUCAUCUUGAUUGCAGCAGUGAUUGUGACCAACAUCAGGAGCAAAACUAAAGACACCGACUCCACAGCAGUUACCGACAAUGACUACACAGAAGUGUAAAAAUCACUUUAAGAAGAGAAGAGAACAGGCAUGAAGAAAAACAAAAAACAUAUAAAUGAAAAAUAUAAUUGUUAUAACCCAUGACUAGGGGUGCACAUAAGUGGUAUGCAGAUAAACAUAUGGGCUGUAUACAUUCAGACCACUUUGACAGAUGUUAAUGCAUAAAAAAUGCAUAAAAACCAUUAUUACUGUAUAAGAUUUGCAUUCAAACUUGAAGCAUGAAUCAAGGUUAAGCACGGAUUUUUCAAAGAGAAUAAGUGUAAAUAAAGUGUAAUAAAAUUAUUUGUUUAUUUUUAUAGUUAUAUUUAAAAGGUCAGACCAUGUUCAGUGAAAACCAAACCAAGUCUCCAGGUGAACUCAUGUGCACCCCUGCUUAUAUCCACAACCUUUACAUUUUUAUUUUAGUUUAUUAGUUUUUUGUUUGUUUGGUUGGUUUUUGCUUAUGCUGUAGUAUUCCUCAUUUGUUUGUUAUAUAAAAAUAACUGAAUCUGUUACUUCUGAUUUCUUUACUGAAGCUUUGCUUUAUGUUCACAAAGAGUAAGGGGGAGAAGCCAUGGUAUUGUAUUUUUGAAAAAUUUGUAUAUGAAAAUAAAAACUAUACUUGCAUGUGA
This is a long non-coding RNA of Puntigrus tetrazona (Sumatra barb), 729 nucleotides long. RefSeq lists it as uncharacterized. NCBI's taxonomy places the organism in Eukaryota, Metazoa, Chordata, Actinopteri, Cypriniformes, Cyprinidae. The transcript is spliced from 2 exons. The record is from RefSeq and is a predicted model, not a curated record.